RNAcentral lists this ribosomal RNA (292 nucleotides) under uncultured bacterium. Its description in RNAcentral is "partial 16S ribosomal RNA". The record is from RNAcentral.
GGACUACCGGGGUAUCUAAUCCUGUUUGCUCCCCACGCUUUCGCACCUCAGCGUCAAUAUUGGCCCAGGUCGCCGCCUUCGCCACUGGUGUUCCUCCCGAUAUCUACGAAUUUCACCUCUACACCGGGAAUUCCGCGACCCUCUUCCAUAUUCAAGCUCGCCAGUUUCGAGUGCACUUCCUGGGUUGAGCCCAGGGCUUUCACACCCGACUUAACAAGCCGCCUACGUGCGCUUUACGCCCAAUGAUUCCGAGCAACGUUUGCACCCUCCGUAUUACCGCGGCGGCUGGCAC